Long non-coding RNA from Cyprinus carpio (common carp), 5386 nucleotides. RefSeq lists it as uncharacterized. The record is from RefSeq and is a predicted model, not a curated record. NCBI's taxonomy places the organism in Eukaryota, Metazoa, Chordata, Actinopteri, Cypriniformes, Cyprinidae.
AAACAGCACAUAUUCCAGCACAUGAACAAACAAAACCGACACCCGCUGCGAUAAAGUGCAGGAAUCGAGAGACACUAUUAAGGGAUGUAUUUGAACAGAAGCAGAGCUCUGGGACGUGUGGACAGACUUUCACUGUAAUGAAGGACAUCUGCUCGUGGACAGAAGUAUAACCCCUGCUGGACAUUGUGCCGGAGCUCGGGGGGGACCCGAAUCGUCCCCAUCCCUUCAUUCACACAACACUCACUCAUAUCGCGGAGAUCUGGCUGGGAUCGAACCAGCAACCUCUGAACCAUGAGGCAGCGCUCUUACCUGUGAGCCACAGAUCUCUUGUCUGAACAUGUGAAGGAACUUGUAUUUCAUUAUUCACCUGCAUGUGGCCGCUGAUUUUCCAAUUAAAGAGUAACAUUAGAAAGCUGAGGUGAGAUUCGAACCCAUGCUAUGAUCACGGGUUCAACAGAAGAGGACGUGCAUUUAGCCACUGGCCCAACAUGACUUUUAUGUUUACUGCUGGUGUUUGAGCCACUUCUUUGGUUAUACAACACCAAAACAAUUAGGAACAAAGUGAGCAAUAGUGAAAUUUAAACUCAGGAUUCCAUGAAUACAAUGCAAAACUUUAUCCAAUUCAACUUUUCAUUUUAACUUCAGCAGCUUAUCUUGACCCACUGUGUUGAGAUGCCAAUGCCAUUUUAAACGUGAACAUUUUGUGAACAGCUUAAAGGUUGGUAAAAGCAUCUGGUUCCUACUUUUUCUGUGCAACCAUUUUUUUUCUCAGGUGACCCUAUGCAGGACAAAUGGGUUGGAGAAUGGAUUGUAGUCUUAAACAGGUUUGACAGUUUCACAUAUUUUUCUGUACUACCCCAGAUAUAGCAGCUUGUUGCAUACAAAACCUUAUGCCAAUAAGCCUGAAACUUUUGUUUUUGAAAGUUUUCUGCCUUUCUUGUGGGAACUUUAAAGAGUAAGGGAUUUUUUUUGUUGUUGUUGUCUCAUUUCUUCUGUUGUAAUGAAGUUUUUUUUUUUUUUUUUUUUUUAAGUUUUGUCAGUUUCAUGAACAUGAAUCACUUUGCAGGAUGGUGAGCAGCUGCAUUAGCCAUUUUUUAUAGAUUCACAGAUGAUAAUAAUCUUCCAUUUGAAUAAACCUAAGACAAACUAAUAUGCGUUGUCUAAAAACAGAGACUGGAUUUGAAAAAAAAAAGUUUUAAUUGAAUUUCUUUGACUUACACAUGCAUAAAACAGUACAUUGUACAUGGUAUUCACUGAUAUGGUUAUAGUAUAACAAUAUCAAGACUUCACACGCAAAAUGAACAAUUUUCCCUCCCAACAAAAUUACGUAAACAUCCAACCAUUAAAAAAAGAUGAUAAACAUGCAGCAAAUGGUCACACAAGAAUAGCCUGGAGUAUAGAAGAAAAACAUUAAAGAACUGUUAUUUUGAUUUGUCAUCUUUGGUUUUAGCCUGGUGCAAACUCUUAUAAAUACGGUUUCAGUUACUGUAUAUACUGCAAAUCCUAAAUGAAUAAAUAACAUUUCAUUGAAUUAAUGUUAUGGCAUGUACGGUGUUUCACUGUGAGUGGCGCUUCUUGCUUUCAUUGUAAAAUCACAGUGACUUUCAGUUUCUCCAAUUUCACAGUUGCAGACUUAAGUGAUGAUUGUCAUGUUUAAAUGUCUUAGUCGACAUCUGUGGCACUGGUUUCAGGUGAACGCGAGGACGCUUCCCUGAAGAACUCAUCCUCUUUUAGCAUGCUCUGGAGAACACAGGAGAAGCUGAGGUAAGGACAAGAAAGACCACGGCAGAUACAGUACAGCAGGAAUAUUAUGUGGCUGUCUUACAGUCAGGUUGUUGAUUCCCUCUGAGAAUGCGCCGAUCUGUUGCACUGUGCCCUCAGAGUCCUCCAUCUGCACAGAGAACAACAACAUCAUAAACAAUUUAACAAUAACAUCCAACUAUGACCAGAAAACAUUAAAAACUGACAAUUUAGAUAUGAUUCACAAUUUAGCUGCAUUGCAUCCCAGUCUGUAGAACUGUCUGUACCUGCUCCAGCUGAUCCAAGCUGUCCUCAUAUAUGCAAAGGCCUUUAUGGAAACUGCUGCUCUGAGGCAUCUGCACAUCCAUGGGGCAAACAUACUCCUCCAUCUCCUCCUGUCGCUUCCUCCUCAGUGUACCAAAACUUCCAAACGACAGACGUCUUGGCUAAAAGGAGGAGAGGAUGGUAAAGGACAGGUAAAACUUUUAUCAGCAUGCUGUUAUUAAGUUAAUAAACAGCUGUUUACUGUUGUAUUCCACACAUUAGUGACAUUCAAGGUCCCACAGGCGACGUUUUACACAGUUACUUGCCUUAACUUUGGCUGUGGCUGUCAGGACAGUGUAAUCUGGGUUUUCGAGAUACUCCUGCUUCAGCCUUUGUGCCUCUGAGCCAAUCAGAAGAUGGAAGUUGUUUGCAAGGUGACGUCUCAACAGAGUUUUAUUUGGAGGGAUGUUAAGAAGCAGAGCCAUUGUCUCAACAUUGAAGCGAGGCUCUAAAACCUGAGAAAGGCAAGUAAAAAAAAAAAAAAUUUGUAAAAGCAUUGUGAAUUUGAAAGUCAUGAUAUUUCCUGCCCCACUGCAUGUACCAUUAGGCCUCCGUGGACUCCACUUCCUCUCAGGUUGGGUGCGUACUCUGCUAGAUCCACUGAACGAAGCCACUCCAUCACUCUGUGAUUGGUCCAUUGGCAGAUUUCUGCUGGUGUGGGAUUGUUCUGAUCAAAAGGGAAAAAUAAAGCAAAGAUUAAAGUCUUUUUUUUAAAGUGAAUGGAGUUAAGUGUGGUAGCAUAAUGACAGGUUGUGCUACCUCAAUCGGUCGGCGGCGGAGGCAGUUGGGGUCAUAGCAGUUGAUACGUAGCACCUGAAUGGCCCUCUUAAUACUGAGAUGGUGAAGCACACUGCCCACUUUCAGUCCCAACAGGUCAUCCUAACAAAAAAGAUGUGGAAACAUCAACCUUAGAAUUGUGUUUUCAACAAGAAUAUUUAGAAGUUUCUUGAAAACCAAAUCAGCAUAUUGGAAUGAUUUCUGAAGGAUCAUGCGACACUGAAGACUUGAAUAAUUGUUGCUCAAAAUUUAGCAUUUCCAUUAUAGGAAUACAUUAUAUUUUAAAAUAUAUUAAAAGGCACUGUAAUAUUUAAAUUGUAAUAAUAUUAGGAUUUAUUUAUUAGAUACCUACCAGAGUCAUAUAGUGAAGCAUGCGCCCAUCCACUCUGCCCUCGUCAAACUGAGAUUUAUACUGAGGUAAGCCGAUGUCAUCCAGCCAUCCUUUGAGAUAAUUACAAUAAGCCUAUUGGUAUUUGCACUCUUUAAUAAAAUGUUAUUAGUGCAUCCCUAUUACUAGGUCUAUCAGUCCUACUAGUCAUAACAUUCGUAAUCAACUAUAUUCAGACAUCUGACCUAAUUUUUUAUUAUUUUUUUUUAAAUAAAUAAGAUUGUUACUUACGAGUAACCCAGUUGUAGUCCAGUUUACCCAUGGCAUCUUUCUCCUCUGAGCCCAGCGACUGAAGAGCCAGCUGCAGUUUCUUUCUAUGUAGAGGAUGCCUGAUGCCCAUUUCCUGAAGCGCAGAGAGAACUAUCUUACAGCACAUAAAAAAAUCACAUUUUAUAUAGUCUAUACAGAUAAGAAGAGCCUUGUGUAGCCUUUUCAACAUGAUGUGUUACACAAAUUUGAAAAUGUGGGGCAGUUCAGGAGACCUUUUCCAAUUCAUGCGGAGAUGCCUUCAAUAAUGUCUGUCCAGAGCUGAUCCAUUGCUUAGCCUGAUUUACAUACAAGCCCAGAUCAUGGUUCUGCAGCCACUCGCACACUUGCUCUUUACUCCAUCUUGAAAAUGGGCUGUCCAGCUCGCUGACAGAGACAUUAACAACAUUACAUUUUUCAAUGCUUGGGGGAGAAACAAAGAAAGUACUCUUAAUAAACAAACUGCAUGUACUUGUUAUUGCUUCGCUGCAGAUCACGUGACCAGCCCAGUCUGGGUCCCGCUGUGGCUCGGACUCCCCCUCUCCUAAACUCUGACUCUAGAGAAUCGUCCAGGUCAGAGGAGGUGGACUGACUUCUCUUCAUCCUAAUUUAGGAUUAUACAUAUCUAUAAAAGUUCAUAUCUUCAUCUUAAUAACCACUGAAACUUAUUAACAUAUCAAGAAACACUAAAAAGACCUUCCAAAUAACUUCAUGAUCCCCUUCGAUUUCUUCUUCCCUUCAGGUGAGUGUGUCUCUAAUGCUUUUGUCUUCUGAGUUUGCACUCCGGCCAAAUCCAAGUGCUCCGCUCCCUUACGCUCUCCUUCCACUGCCAAUAUAUAACCAACAACCCAUCAAUAAGUGUCUGGCCUGACUCACCCAGAUCGGGAGCGCUGCUUGUCAUCUUGUUGCCUCUGAUCUUGAAAAAGCCACGUCCAAAAGAGGAGCGUGUUUUUUUAGAGCCAAAACUCUCAUUGCCCCCUGAGCUGGGCUGAGUCGGGGAGACGGACGGAGAGCCUCCAUUUUUACUGGCUUCAUCCUAAAAUAUAACAAGCAAGUUUGCUGGUUUGGGUUAAGAUAUUGCACUUUUUGUUUUGCGAAAUGAUUUCCUCUAAAAACCUCUCAAGUUCUAACUAAAAACAAAUUAGAUGCUUAGUAAUCAGCAUCAUUUAUUAAAAAAAAGUGCCCAGUGCAGCAAUGCAGCCUUUUUAUUGUAAAUAUAGCUUUUUGUCAGGCUCAUGUUGAUCUAAUUUUACAAUGAACUAGGAUAGUGUGCUGGAUAGGGUGAUGUAAGAUGCUGUAAGGGAAGCCAUUGUACAGGAGAACAGUGGCAUUAUUGUGUACAAGUGGAGUUUUUAACCAACAGGAGGUGCCAGAAAGCCAAAUAUGCAAAUCUCCAACUUUUUUACAGGACCUUAUUGACGUAGUUCAUAAUUUCUCAUAUAGAUUAAGUUGGUACCUCAUUAUUGCUUGUCAAACGAGUCCUUUCAGGCUGUUGUACUUCAGAGACACUGAAAAAGCAAAAUGGAAGAAAUCAAAUCGGUCACAAAUUUAAUAAUUUAUAAUAAAAGUGCAAUUUUUAUAAAAUUCUUGCAUUUACCUUAAUUUUCUUACAUUCAGAUUUUUUUUUAAAAAAAUUAUUACAUUUUUAAGCCCUAUUUUGUAUACUACUCAUGGAAAGUGCCUGAAAAUUAAUACAGCUUUGAACAUAGUUUUUAUCUUUUUUUUUCCAAUCUGUACUUUUUUUUCCAAUAAUGAAACAUACUUGAAUAUCAAUGUAUCUUUGUAUGAACACAGUUUAAAUAACAAAUGUCUACAGUAAGUAAACAGACCUGUCAGUGGUCUCAGCUGCAGGUUUGUGUGAGGUCACUUCAGGGAGCAGCUCUGAACAUGGAAUGAGUUGAGGCUGUAUGA